RNAcentral lists this ribosomal RNA (253 nucleotides) under uncultured bacterium. Its description in RNAcentral is "partial 16S ribosomal RNA". It matches the Rfam family "Bacterial small subunit ribosomal RNA", at positions 524 to 776 of the family's 1533-position model. The record is from RNAcentral. RNAcentral also lists the same sequence under 1 other name.
UACGUAGGGACCAAGCGUUGUUCGGAUUUACUGGGCGUAAAGGGCGCGUAGGCGGCUUUGUAAGUCACUUGUGAAAUCUCCGGGCUUAACUCGGAACGGCCAAGUGAUACUGCAAAGCUAGAGUGCAGAAGGGGCAAUCGGAAUUCUUGGUGUAGCGGUGAAAUGCGUAGAUAUCAAGAGGAACACCUGAGGUGAAGACGGGUUGCUGGGCUGACACUGACGCUGAGGCGCGAAAGCCAGGGGAGCAAACGGG